GCCUUCGUGGUGUAGUGGUCAGUACGCUGGGCGCGUAUUCUAGAGGUCCGUGGUUCGAGUCCCGGCGAAGGCG
Molecule: transfer RNA, 73 nt
Filed under: Stegodyphus mimosarum
Lineage: Eukaryota; Metazoa; Arthropoda; Arachnida; Araneae; Eresidae
Rfam family: tRNA
About the family: Transfer RNA (tRNA) molecules are approximately 80 nucleotides in length. Their secondary structure includes four short double-helical elements and three loops (D, anti-codon, and T loops).
Source: Rfam by way of RNAcentral